GAUCAUGGCUACAGAAUGAACGUUGGCGGCGUGGAUUAGGCAUGCAAGUCGAGCGAGAACCGCAAGGGGGACAGCGGCAAACGGGGUAGUAACGGGUAGGUGACGUACCCUUCGGUCGGGGAUAGCCACGGGAAACUGUGGGUAAUACCCGAUAACCUCUCGAGACGUGAUGGUUUCGGGAGCAAAGGUGUGAUUCCACCGGAGGAGCGGCCUGCUUCGUAUUAGCUAGUUGGUGAGGUAACGGCUCACCAAGGCGACGAUGCGUAGGGGGGUGUGAGAGCAUGACCCCCACCACUGGGACUGAGAUACUGCCCAGACACCUACGGGUGGCUGCAGUCGAGAAUCUUCGGCAAUGGGCGCAAGCCUGACCGAGCGACGCCGCGUGUGGGAUGAAGGCCCUUGGGUUGUAAACCACUGUCAGAGGGGAUGAAGUGCAUGGGAGCAAUCUCCUGUGUUUGACAUAGCCUCAGAGGAAGCACGGGCUAAGUUCGUG
RNAcentral lists this ribosomal RNA (493 nucleotides) under uncultured bacterium. RNAcentral describes it as "bacterial SSU rRNA". It matches the Rfam family "Bacterial small subunit ribosomal RNA", at positions 15 to 507 of the family's 1533-position model. The record is from RNAcentral.